ACAUGUGAGAAGGUGAUGAUAC
RNAcentral lists this non-coding RNA (22 nucleotides) under Arabidopsis thaliana (thale cress). Lineage: Eukaryota; Viridiplantae; Streptophyta; Magnoliopsida; Brassicales; Brassicaceae. The record is from RNAcentral.